Molecule: long non-coding RNA, 245 nt
Filed under: Citrus x clementina
Lineage: Eukaryota; Viridiplantae; Streptophyta; Magnoliopsida; Sapindales; Rutaceae
Description: Citrus clementina (C. clementina) long non-coding RNA (CCLE_LNC002677)
Source: RNAcentral
AUAAUAUUACAAUAGGCUAAAAACUUAAAUAUAAUUCUCUAAUACAUAAUUAGCCAACACAAAAUAUAAAAAUACUAACAAUACAAGUACCGUACAUAACAUACAAAUCAACCACUAAUAUAAAAAAAACUAAUAGAGAUUUACCAAUUUAGGAAUUUUGACAUUUUGUGACAAAACCUUUGCCCUUUCCCUUUGCCCGAUUUUUUUAUUGUUUUGUUUAAUUUUUUUUUCAAUUUUAUAAUAUA